Molecule: unclassified non-coding RNA, 261 nt
Organism: Vicugna pacos (alpaca)
Lineage: Eukaryota; Metazoa; Chordata; Mammalia; Artiodactyla; Camelidae
Gene: 7SK
Rfam family: 7SK RNA
About the family: 7SK was discovered as an abundant small nuclear RNA in the mid-70s but a possible function has only recently been suggested. Two independent studies have found that 7SK RNA binds the CDK9/cyclin T complex (known as elongation factor P-TEFb).
Source: Ensembl
GGAUGUGAGGGCAAUCUGGCUGUGACAUCUGUCACCCCGUGUUGAUGUGCAGUGUUGAUCACCAGUGUUGAUGUCAUCUCCUGAUCCUGCUGACUAGGCGGAUGUCCCGUUCCUCUGUCCUCUGUCCUAUCCCUGUACCUUUCCAGAUAGAGGAGGACCUUUUUUCAGUCAAGGGUACACGAAGAGUUGUGUUCCUCUGCUAGAACUUCCAAAGAAGCUCUUAGUCUAGAUUCUAAACCUCAUUCAUAUUCCAUAAUUUAU